Molecule: ribosomal RNA, 253 nt
Filed under: uncultured bacterium
Lineage: Bacteria
Description: partial 16S ribosomal RNA
Rfam family: Bacterial small subunit ribosomal RNA
Source: RNAcentral
UACGUAGGGACCGAGCGUUGUCCGGAAUCAUUGGGCGUAAAGAGCGUGUAGGCGGCCCCUUAAGUCCUGCGUGAAAUCCUGCGGCUCAACCGCAGACGGUCGUGGGAAACUGGAGGGCUAGAGUGCGGGAGAGGAGAGUGGAAUUCCCGGUGUAGCGGUGAAAUGCGCAGAUAUCAGGAGGAACACCGGUGGCGAAGGCGGGUCUCUGGGCCGAUACUGACGCUGAGGAGCGAAAGCGUGGGGAGCGAACAGG